UACGUAGGAGGCGAGGGUUGUCCGGAAUUACUGGGCGUAAAGGGCGCGUAGGCGGCCUGUUAAGUCGAACGUGAAAUCCCCGGGCUUAACCCGGGAACUGCGUCCGAUACUGGCAGGCUUGAAUCCGGGAGAGGGAUGCGGAAUUCCAGGUGUAGCGGUGAAAUGCGUAGAUAUCUGGAGGAACACCGGUGGCGAAGGCGGCAUCCUGGACCGGCAUUGACGCUGAGGCGCGAAAGCCAGGGGAGCAAACGGG
This 253-nucleotide ribosomal RNA is filed under the name uncultured bacterium. Its description in RNAcentral is "partial 16S ribosomal RNA". It matches the Rfam family "Bacterial small subunit ribosomal RNA", at positions 524 to 776 of the family's 1533-position model. The record is from RNAcentral.